GUAAAUGCCUCGAAAAGAACGAAGUAGAGAUCCUGACCCGUACAUUCAGAGAAGCGGUGGUUGCUGCAAACCGCUACGACAGGUAAUCGAAUUACAUUCUUGGAGCAGUUUUCCCUUAGCUGGGAAACCGGAGCGAUCCGUUAUAUCAAUGAAGUGAGGAAGAGAUAUCUCUUCUUAAGCUGGGUGGUACCACGCAUAAAAGCGUCCCUGCA
This 212-nucleotide non-coding RNA is filed under the name Jeotgalibacillus malaysiensis. Its description in RNAcentral is "T-box sequence". It matches the Rfam family "T-box leader". From Rfam's summary of the family: Uncharged tRNA acts as the effector for transcription antitermination of genes in the T-box leader family. T-boxes are found upstream of many aminoacyl-tRNA synthetase genes and some amino acid biosynthetic genes usually in Gram-positive bacteria. The record is from RNAcentral. Lineage: Bacteria; Bacillati; Bacillota; Bacilli; Caryophanales; Caryophanaceae.